This 3197-nucleotide long non-coding RNA is filed under the name Triticum aestivum (bread wheat). RNAcentral describes it as "long non-coding RNA (TAES_LNC002979)". The record is from RNAcentral. Lineage: Eukaryota; Viridiplantae; Streptophyta; Magnoliopsida; Poales; Poaceae.
UUACCAACAAGAAUUUAUGGCGAGGAGGCACUCUUGUGCACCCUUUGCAAUACAAAGGUACUCAGCUCCAACCAGAAUAUAUCAUACUCUAGAGUUCGAACUUCAGAUGCAUUUUAUCCUUUUGUUAUACUCAUGGCGUUCUAAAAAUGGAUGCAAUGCAAAUGCUAUGUAUUACUCAAUGAUGUCGCAUACUGGUUUCACUUCAUAUCUUUUACAAGUACAGUUUUCUACUUUUUUCUGCAGAAUUACUACAUGGUUGUCUUGAAGUAAAUAUCAAUUAUGUCAACCGAUAUGUUGUUUUAUAACAAUAGACCUUCAAUAUUAUUUCUGCCUCGGGUUCUAGACGAGGACAGCUAAUUAAGAGAAAACUUUGGUGGGAUAGAGACAGAAGUUUGCUAUAUUUCACAAAACCCAAACAGAAUUUCAUUGCUGAUUCUUCUGCCCUGAACUUUGCUCUUGCCAAUUACAUUUUGUGUAUCCUUUUUAAGGAAACUGCUUCGUUUACACCAUCCUAUUGGCAUGUCUAUUAGCAGUAAUGAAAUUGCCCGGGCCCCCCGUGCCGCCGUCUCCGCCGCGAGAUUGGAUUUCUGUCGGGCACCCUUGCCACUUUGUUCUCCUAUCCCACUGUCUGAGCUGCUGGGAUCCUCAGCAGCGCAGGUUUUUCUAGGCUAUCAAGUGAUCGCUCCAUGGAUGGGUGGGUGGCUGUGGAUUACAGGUCGUCGGCGGCGGAUCUGGAGACGCGGAUGCUCCUGCACAACGCGGCGUCCAUGGAGUCCCCUUGUCUGUCAAGGAACCGGUCGUCGUUCCACCCCCUCCCCUUCCCCGAACACCAUCGUCGCUCCUCUGCGUGGCGUCUCUCGCUUGUCGCUACCAUCCAUGAGGAGAAUCCAUCGUCAAAGGUCGCCGUACAGGGACUCUGUUGCUUUCUGCAGAACCGCCACUCCUGCCACCUCCAGGAAAGCAUUUGUACGCAGAUGGGUUAUAUCUAAUAACUUGUAUGUACAUGCCUCUAUUUUUGUGUCCAUUCGAUCAUCAUUUCACCCUGAUAUAGUUAUUCUUUCUACUUUCAUUGAUUCUUUCGUGGUUUCUUGUCAUCUUGUGCCCUUUGACAAUUGGGUUUUUCUCUGUUAUUCUUUGUAGGGGAUUUGCUCUAAGUUCUGUUGAUAGUGAUGAUGAGUUGAUAGAGCAUACCUUUUUGCCUGCUAUUGUAUAGUCACAAAAUUUCCAUGGUGUGCAUGGGGGUACUUUUUCAGUGAACCCAUCACUUAUACUGCAUACUGGAAAAAGGUAUCUAUAGCUUUUAGGUAAUGUCUAUUUCAAUCAUCAGAAGACAUAUUGAAUAUAUGUUCCUUUGUGCACCGAAACAAUCCCAUAAAAAAACAAACUACUUCCCUAUAUUGUGAUUCUUCCCAUAGUUGUUUGCUCCCUGGAAACAAAGGCCGAGGCAACAUAUUUUACCGUGUAUACAAUGAUCUUGCUUUUAAAACUAAUAAUAUAUACUUAUGAUCUCUUCUACAUGUUUGUUUUCUAAUCCCUAUUUUCAUGUUUUUGAGGCAUGUUAGCUAUCUUCCAGUAAUAUAUUUAGUGUUAUCCAGUAAGUUUUUUGAGGCAUGUGUGUUACUCAAAGAAAAAGGUGUGUCAGUCUCAGUGAUACCCUUUGAAUUUUUGAACAAUUGCCACUGCUAAGGUGAUUUUUUUUUGGAAACCACUGCUAAGGUGAUUGGAAAUUGCUUUGUACACAUUCUACUAGGCUCGUUUUCUGUGAUUGUACACAUUCUACUAGGCUCAUUUUCUGUGAAUCCCUACAAUCUGAGGAAUGAAGUGAAGGGAAGACGUGAGGAGAAAGCUCUACCUUCACAGGAGACAAGAUCCGUGCCGGGAAUUCGGAUGUGCUUGUAUGUUACUGUAGAGCGACCAUUUCAGGGUGGAUGUUGAUGAUCUCAGAUUGAUUCGAUGCUGCAGCGAGGUAAAGUUGCUAUUUACUUCUCAAGUUCGGACUUGCGUAUCAAACAAACAUAACUUGGCAGCAAGGUUAACAUCUAGGAAAAAUUAUGUGUGUGUGCGCGCGUGCAUCGUGCAUCCGUCAGUGUCGAUUCAUUCAAAUAUUGAUAAGUAUACGAGCAUGUAGGCAAAUGAUGUCAAGACAAUUCAAGAGGCAUGUCAGACUGGGUGGUGUCGGCCGUGUCGCCUGCUCGUCCUCGUUGCUUGUUGGUGUGUUUCUAGGGGACAAUGCUUUGUUUGGAUACCAAAAAGAAAAAUAGUACACAUAGAGAGACUUUCUUAGUUGCAGAGUAACAACAUAUAAGGGUGCAUCUUUUGACCAUUUAAUGAAUCAGAGUUUUAAGUAAAGAGACUAACUCGUCAACUGGAGAGUGAGAUACUAAUUGCUUUCUUUGUAGUGAAGAUGGCCCCUUUUGGGGUGAGACACAACUAUAGUUGCACAGCUAAAGUUCCUAUAUUGCAAAGGCUAUAACUCCUUGUCCUUUGUAGUUUGGAUUUUGGAAUAAUUAUCCUAGAUAGAUGCUAGAAUGGGAGAAAUAUAGUAAAACACAAAUUUAGCAAUGGACAUGCAUGUCUUUUAACGCUGCAGCUUGCUUAUAUUGUUUGUGUUUUUAUCUGGUAUGGGCUUGUAAGCAUGCCGUCGUCAGAAGGAAUCCAUCGUUUUGUCAAAAUAUUGGAUGUAUAACUAAUUCCAUGUUUGUGUUUUCAGCUGGGAUGGGCUUGCACUAAUGAUGUAUUAAAACAUUGAUAUGAUGGCAGGAAGAUCCAAGAUGCUACUGUAUGGUUCUUGCGUUAACCCUCUUGUAGAUAUUGAAAUGCAUGAAAGUCACAUUAGAUUAUGUAUUGAAACAUAUACAAAGUUAAAAUAAUGAGCGAGUCUUUCUUAUUAUGUUUCGCCAUUUUGCAUAAUUUUGGUUUAUCUUCUAACUUUUUUCUUCUAGCCCUUUGUUUCUCCCAUAUCAACCUAAAGAAGUUGAUCCAAUGACAACAUAAAUAAGUUGCUUGGCAUGGUAGUUUAUCCUUCCCAUUAUUUGAGGAUUAGAGCUUGAAAUAAUUCUCUAGCAAAGGUAAGAUAGCUAGGAAGUUGGAAUUUCACAAAGUAGCUACAAUUUUUUAAGUGUGCUUCUUUGGUCCUGAAAUAUGUCUUAUCUUGUGUGAUUUCGCUCAGUUUCUAUUCUAAAAAGCAAAAUGCUUCA